UGGCGGAGCCAUCCUUGGGAUACCACCCUUGUAGUACUGGGACUCUAACCAUAGGCCAUGAAUCUGGUCUUGGGACACUGUCAGGUGGGCAGUUUGACUGGGGCGGUCGCCUCCCAAAAGGUAACGGAGGCGCUCAAAGGUUCUCCCAGUACGGUCGGAAAUCGUACGUAGAGUGUAAAGGCAAAAGAGAGCUUGAUUGCAAGACAUACAGGUCGAGCAAGGAUGAAAAUCGGACUUAGUGAUCCGGUGGUUCUGCGUGGAAGGGCCAUCGCUCAACGGAUAAAGCUACCC
This 291-nucleotide ribosomal RNA is filed under the name Clostridioides difficile. RNAcentral's name for it is "partial 23S ribosomal RNA". It matches the Rfam family "Bacterial large subunit ribosomal RNA", at positions 2178 to 2468 of the family's 2925-position model. The record is from RNAcentral. Lineage: Bacteria; Bacillati; Bacillota; Clostridia; Peptostreptococcales; Peptostreptococcaceae.